CUAUUAUGGAGAGUUUGAUCCUGGCUCAGGACGAACGCUGGCGGCGUGCCUAAUACAUGCAAGUCGAGCGGGUUUAUCCUUCGGGAUAAGCUAGCGGCGGACGGGUGAGUAACACGUAGG
RNAcentral lists this ribosomal RNA (120 nucleotides) under Paenibacillus sp. Soil766. RNAcentral's name for it is "partial 16S ribosomal RNA". It matches the Rfam family "Bacterial small subunit ribosomal RNA", at positions 1 to 121 of the family's 1533-position model. The record is from RNAcentral. Lineage: Bacteria; Bacillati; Bacillota; Bacilli; Caryophanales; Paenibacillaceae.